This 74-nucleotide transfer RNA is filed under the name Alosa alosa (allis shad). RNAcentral's name for it is "tRNA-OTHER". The record is from RNAcentral. Lineage: Eukaryota; Metazoa; Chordata; Actinopteri; Clupeiformes; Clupeidae.
ACAGUCGUGGUCUACUGGUUAGGCCUUUGGGCUUGGAACCGAAAGGGUUACCGGUUCGAUCCCCGAUCAGUGGG